AGAGUUUGAUCCUGGCUCAGAAUGAACGCUGGCGGCAUGCCUAACACAUGCAAGUCGAACGAAGCCUUCGGGUUUAGUGGCGCACGGGUGCGUAACGCGUGGGAAUCUGCCCCUUGGUUCGGAAUAACAGUUGGAAACGACUGCUAAUACCGGAUGAUGACGUAAGUCCAAAGAUUUAUCGCCGAGGGAUGAGCCCGCGUAGGAUUAGGUAGUUGGUGUGGUAAAGGCGCACCAAGCCGACGAUCCUUAGCUGGCCUGAGAGGAUGAUCAGCCACACUGGGACUGAGACACGGCCCAGACUCCUACGGGAGGCAGCAGUGGGGAAUAUUGGACAAUGGGCGAAAGCCUGAUCCAGCAAUGCCGCGUGAGUGAUGAAGGCCUUAGGGUUGUAAAGCUCUUUUACCCGGGAUGAUAAUGACAGUACCGGGAGAAUAAGCUCCGGCUAACUCCGUG
Molecule: ribosomal RNA, 453 nt
Filed under: uncultured Sphingomonas sp.
Lineage: Bacteria; Pseudomonadati; Pseudomonadota; Alphaproteobacteria; Sphingomonadales; Sphingomonadaceae
Description: bacterial SSU rRNA
Rfam family: Bacterial small subunit ribosomal RNA
Source: RNAcentral